AUUCUUUCCUUGCAUUCUGUGCAAACUCUUUGCAGAAGAAUGUUUCCUCCAUUAGUCAUCCCACUGCACCACGCUCUUAGAAGCAUCAGGGAGGCAGAUACUAAAAUCAACCAGUUUUCCUCGUCUGGGCAACAUGGACAGUGAUGUGAAAUUGGACAUUUCUGCUUGCUGGAGGUUUUGAGUCCUGAAAGCUGUUAGCAGAGAGGAGCUACAGGUAUCCAGACAAGAAUAUUAAAAACCCGAUAUCUAAGCAAUUUAGAAUGGACAGGACAGCACACAGUCUUACUGUACAGAGAGACACUGAAAUGACAGAUGAAGAUGAAUGAUACACUCAUAAAAAUAGAGAACUUUGAAUUUCCCUUCUUCUGUAGAUUUAAUUUAAGUCAGAUCCUUCAAUAUUGUAUGGAUGUGGUUUAUACUAAAGAUCUUGAGAGCAAUCCCUAAGCAGUGAAUUGAACACUUUAUCAUUCAAAAAUGUAAUACAAAACUGAGUUAAAAAUACAAAAUAUGAAAGAUCUGGGAAAAAAAAUAAUGGUCAUAUGCUCAUAGCUCCUAAUGAUAAAUGAUGUCUCAAAUGUAGAUUGAAAAUCACUUUCCUUUUGCUUAUGAUGAGUCUUUCCAUUUUAAAAUUACUGAAAUAGGAAAAGAGGUCUUGAAAUAUUUCUAAUUACAAGGAAAUUCUGAAUUGGAAAGAUAUACCUCAUUCCUUUACAAGCCUCUUAUUGGUUCUCUAAGAGAUACACCGUGUGCCAAUUUCAAAUCCAGCAGAUGUGGAUGGAUUCCAACUCUCUCCAGAUAGUAGAAGUUUGUAUGCAGCUGGGCUCUGUACAUUAGCAAAAAAUAAAUGGUUAUUUGAAACCUAACUGCAUGGGUCCUUUGUAUUAUUUCUUUGGGUACAGCGUAAGACAUAAGAAAGGUUUACAUUUGAUCUUUCAGCGUGAAAGGCAUUGUAGGACUGGGUGAAGGAGCCUCCCCCAUCAGCACAGGUUGUGGGAAUGACCCUGUUCCAGCCCUUCUCUCAGCUCCCACUGCAAUGGCACUCCUCUAUAAUGGGAACAAAACACACAGGCAAAGUAGGGAAUGCUAAAACUGUAUUUUCCUUCUCAUGGUCCAUUAACAAAACAUACGUCAGAGAGGUUUCAAUUUACACAGGGAGCCAGACAGGCCUAAGAGCACAAAAAUAGAGGAAAAUCAAAGAGGUAGUUUAAAUUCUCUGUCUCUUCCCCCAGUCCCUACACUGGCCGCUGUGACUGAAAUCAAAGCACAUGGUUUAUGCCACUACCAGAUAGGAUUUGGAAGUUAGAAAUUUGGAACAUUUAAGUUAGCAUCCUGGGAGCAGUAGAUUAGCCAAGAGACCUUCAUGCGUUCAUUCUAAAUUAUUUUGUUCUAUAUUUCUAAGAUGAUUACUUGAAAACAAGUCUACCAGUGAAAAGAAUCAAGUAACAACAGCUUUUUUGAGCUCUUGAUUCAUUUUCUGUUUAGGAAACAAACGUCAUACAUUUCAGGAGCAAAAAGGAAGUGAAGUACAAAUGCAAAGAUGCAAAUCAAAAUGGCUUUUGAGCAACCAGGUCAGAAAACUGACCUCCUCUUACAUGUGUUCCCAUAGUAAUGAAGAGAUUAAGAGCAUUUUCCUUCUUAUUGUAGUCAUAAAACUUCAAACUUCACACUAAGGGACCCUGAAUGAUGCCUACCCACUGUAUUUCUUUCCCCAAAUGGAUUUCGGGUCACACUGCAGUUCUGCCUCUUGUCUACAAAUAAUC
Molecule: long non-coding RNA, 1760 nt
Filed under: Gallus gallus (chicken)
Lineage: Eukaryota; Metazoa; Chordata; Aves; Galliformes; Phasianidae
Source: RNAcentral